Long non-coding RNA from Panicum virgatum (switchgrass), 1057 nucleotides. RefSeq lists it as uncharacterized. NCBI's taxonomy places the organism in Eukaryota, Viridiplantae, Streptophyta, Magnoliopsida, Poales, Poaceae. The record is from RefSeq and is a predicted model, not a curated record. The transcript is spliced from 2 exons.
AGCCCCCGCGCCAACCCGUUCCGCAAGCGCCGCCGUCCCUGAGUCCCGGCGCCUCCCUCGACGUCAACGCCGGCUCCACGAGGAGCUGCCGUGCCUCCGUUGCGAGGAGCUAUCCUGCCGUCGUCGUGAGGAGGUCCGGCCUCCUACUCGCUCCUCCGCUCCUUGACGUGCCUGCAUCUUAAUCUAUAUCAAGGUUAUCCCAAAGAGGGCCUUGAUGUCGAGGGAUUGUGACCAAGCACGGAGCCUCUGCACCAUGGGAUUUGAGUUGGAGGGCCCUUGGGAAAUUGGUAUUUGCUCACCAAAUCUGCAAUAGUGUAGAUCGAAUCCUCUCUAUGCAUCUCCGGAACAACCAGGUCCCCUUGCAGCGGGUGAUGCAAGCCCCAGCAGCGCUUGAGAUCCAGCUGGGGCCGUCCCCCUUGAUUUUCUUCUCGAUCCGGUGAUAAUCGACGAGAUCCAGUAUGUCUUCAGCUUCAUGCAGGAUGGACUUGAGAUCAUUUUCAAUCUUCCUGAGCAUCGCGAGAUCAGAUUCAGAUCCCUUGCCUUUCACUUCUCCGAGCAUCCUCUGCUCCUCCACUUUUCUCACCGUCUCCUUGAGGCUUGGGAUAGUGUCGAUCUCCAGCUUCCGAAGCUUUCUUGAUGUGUCAAGGGAGAGGUUGGCAAAGAACUUGUUCACAAGGAAGCUGAGUACGGGUGACAGCAGCCAACCCAUGAUGACGAUGCUCGAGCCUACUGCUUCAAUUCCCCACGGAUUUGCCAUGGAUUGGAACUCUAAGCUCUCACGGAGGACAGGGGAAGAGGCUGGAGGAAGAUGACGGACGGGGCGAAUGGUAGUGACACACACGCACUAUGUGGCUAGCUAGAUAGCCAUAAUGUGAACACACUUACACACCACAGCGCCGCUAUUAAAGGGAGCUCUGCUUCCACCAACAGAUAAAGACGAGCUCGCUCUUGCCGCACGAAGCUUGUUUUUUCAGCUAUGUAUUCUCAACAUGUACACACGAGCAUAUACAUGCAUGGACGUCCACGCAUUCUAGCGUGCUUCUUUUUUUCUCUUUUA